RNAcentral lists this long non-coding RNA (669 nucleotides) under Vigna radiata. RNAcentral's name for it is "long non-coding RNA (VRAD_LNC008816)". The record is from RNAcentral. Lineage: Eukaryota; Viridiplantae; Streptophyta; Magnoliopsida; Fabales; Fabaceae.
UACCCUUGAAUAUUAGAUUGAUUCAAUUGUUAUGCGACUUUCUUAGCCUCCCCUUAACCCGAUCCCUCGGCAAAAAGGGCCUAAUAUUAACUACUGGCUUGCUAUCCCUAGCCUCCCCUAGUAAUUAAUACCGCAUUAUAAACAGAAGUUAGCACAAUUGAUCAUCCUACCCCUAUCCCUAGGUGGUAUUGCAAAAUCAAGAGAUUACUCACCAGUUCAUGUCAUUACUGUACGUCCCCAUAUCAAUAAAGACAAACAUCAAUAUACCGAAUGAGUUAAACGAUAAAGGCAUUAAGCACAGAUGAUAACCCAACAAUAAUCAAUCAAAACAUAUGGAGACCAUAUAAAUAAUAUAGGGAUUCAAUAAGAGAGAGCAUCAAAAGAUUACAUUGUUUCCCCCAACAACAAUAGGGUUUAGUUCACCAUCGUCAUGAUGAAUCUAGAUGAAGAAUGGAAUGAAAGAGAUACAAACCCUAAAAAGGAGAAAAGGAGAGCUGUCACCAUCUCCAAAUUUAGCCCUAAAGGGGUGAAAAGUGUGUUUCUGUGCAUAAGCCAUUAAAAGAUACAAACCCUAAGACGUUCUGGCCUUUAAAUAGGGCAUAAAAAUGACAUAAAUUAAGUCCAAGCCCAAACAGAUCAUAAAAAAUAACAUAAAACAGGUCCAGGCCC